This 450-nucleotide ribosomal RNA is filed under the name uncultured bacterium. Its description in RNAcentral is "partial 16S ribosomal RNA". It matches the Rfam family "Bacterial small subunit ribosomal RNA", at positions 354 to 796 of the family's 1533-position model. The record is from RNAcentral.
GUCGAGAAUAAUUCACAAUGGGGGAAACCCUGAUGGUGCAACGCCGCGUGGAGGAUGAAGGUCUUCGGAUUGUAAACUCCUGUCAUCUGGGAGUAAGACCUGACGGUGAAUAGCCGGCAGGGUUGAUAGUACCAGAAGAGGAAGGGACGGCUAACUUCGUGCCAGCAGCCGCGGUAAUACGAAGGUCCCAAGCGUUGUUCGGAAUCACUGGGCGUAAAGGGAGCUUAGGCGGCGUGGUAAGUCAGAUGUGAAAUCCCGGGGCUCAACCCCGGAACUGGUUCCGAUACUGCCAUGCUUGAGGGUUGGAGAGGUAGCUGGAAUUCUCGGUGUAGCAGUGAAAUGCGUGGAUAUCGAGAGGAACACUCGUGGCGAAGGCGAGCUACUGGACAACAUCUGACGCUGAGGCUCGAAGGCCAGGGGAGCAAAAGGGAUUAGAUACCCCGGUAGUCC